UACGUAGGUGGCAAGCGUUGUCCGGAAUUAUUGGGCGUAAAGCGCGCGCAGGCGGUUAUGUAAGUCUGAUGUUAAAGCCCGGGGCUCAACCCCGGUUCGCAUUGGAAACUGCGUAACUUGAGUGCAGAAGAGGAAAGUGGUAUUCCACGUGUAGCGGUGAAAUGCGUAGAUAUGUGGAGGAACAUCAGUGGCGAAGGCGACUUUCUGGUCUGUAACUGACGCUGAGGCGCGAAAGCGUGGGGAGCAAACAGG
RNAcentral lists this ribosomal RNA (252 nucleotides) under uncultured bacterium. Its description in RNAcentral is "partial 16S ribosomal RNA". It matches the Rfam family "Bacterial small subunit ribosomal RNA", at positions 524 to 776 of the family's 1533-position model. The record is from RNAcentral.